RNAcentral lists this ribosomal RNA (550 nucleotides) under uncultured bacterium. Its description in RNAcentral is "bacterial SSU rRNA". It matches the Rfam family "Bacterial small subunit ribosomal RNA", at positions 355 to 896 of the family's 1533-position model. The record is from RNAcentral.
UGGGGAAUCUUCCGCAAUGGGCGAAAGCCUGACGGGGCAACGCCGCGUGAGUGAUGACGGCCUUCGGGUUGUAAAACUCUGUGAUCCGGGACGAAAAGGCAGAGUGCGAAGAACAAACUGCAUUGACGGUACCGGAAAAGCAAGCCACGGCUAACUACGUGCCAGCAGCCGCGGUAAUACGUAGGUGGCAAGCGUUGUCCGGAAUUAUUGGGCGUAAAGCGCGCGCAGGCGGCUUCCCAAGUCCCUCUUAAAAGUGCGGGGCUUAACCCCGUGAUGGGAAGGAAACUGGGAAGCUGGAGUAUCGGAGAGGAAAGUGGAAUUCCUUGUGUAGCGGUGAAAUGCGUAGAGAUUAGGAAGAACACCGGUGGCGAAGGCGACUUUCUGGACGAAAACUGACGCUGAGGCGCGAAAGCGUGGGGAGCAAACAGGAUUAGAUACCCUGGUAGUCCACGCCGUAAACGAUGGAUACUAGGUGUAGGAGGUAUCGACCCCUCCUGUGCCGGAGUUAACGCAAUAAGUAUCCCGCCUGGGAAGUACGAUCGCAAGAUUA